UAAAGGAAGCGAUUCCGGCUACGGAUGGUCAUGCGUCGCAUUAGCUAGUUGGCGGGGUAACGGCCCACCAAGGCGACGAUGCGUAGGGGUUCUGAGAGGAAGGUCCCCCACACUGGUACUGAGACACGGACCAGACUCCUACGGGAGGCAGCAGUGAGGAAUAUUGGUCAAUGGCCGCAGGGCUGAACCAGCCAAGUCGCGUGAGGGAUGACGGUCCUAUGGAUUGUAAACCUCUUUUGUCAGGGAGCAAAGGGCGCCACGUGUGGCGCUUUGCGAGUACCUGAAGAAAAAGCAUCGGCUAACUCCGUGCCAGCAGCCGCGGUAAUACGGAGGAUGCGAGCGUUAUCCGGAUUUAUUGGGUUUAAAGGGUGUGCAGGCGGAAUGUCAAGUCAGCGGUAAAAUUUCGGGGCUCAACCCCGUCGUGCCGUUGAAACUGGCGUUCUUGAGUGAGCGAGAAGUAUGCGGAAUGCGUGGUGUAGCGGUGAAAUGCAUAGAUAUCACGCAGAACUCCGAUUGCGAAGGCAGCAUACCGGCGCUCAACUGACGCUCAUGCACGAAAGCGUGGGUAUCGAACAGGAUUAGAUACCCUGGUAGUCCACGCAGUAAACGAUGAAUACCGACUGUCCGGGCAGAAUGAUGCCUGG
RNAcentral lists this ribosomal RNA (644 nucleotides) under uncultured bacterium. RNAcentral's name for it is "bacterial SSU rRNA". It matches the Rfam family "Bacterial small subunit ribosomal RNA", at positions 202 to 842 of the family's 1533-position model. The record is from RNAcentral.